CUACGGGGGGCAGCAGUGGGGAAUAUUGCACAAUGGGGGAAACCCUGAUGCAGCAACGCCGCGUGAGUGAUGAAGGUCUUCGGAUUGUAAAGCUCUGUCUUCAGGGACGAUAAUGACGGUACCUGAGGAGGAAGCCACGGCUAACUACGUGCCAGCAGCCGCGGUAAUACGUAGGUGGCAAGCGUUGUCCGGAUUUACUGGGCGUAAAGGGAGCGUAGGCGGACACUUAAGUGGGAUGUGAAAUCCCCGGGCUUAACCCGGGAGCUGCAUUCCAAACUGGGUGUCUAGAGUGCAGGAGAGGAAAGUGGAAUUCCUAGUGUAGCGGUGAAAUGCGUAGAGAUUAGGAAGAACACCAGUGGCGAAGGCGACUUUCUGGACUGUAACUGACGCUGAGGCUCGAAAGCGUGGGGAGCAAACAGGAUUAGAUACCCCGGUAGUC
This 439-nucleotide ribosomal RNA is filed under the name uncultured bacterium. RNAcentral's name for it is "partial 16S ribosomal RNA". It matches the Rfam family "Bacterial small subunit ribosomal RNA", at positions 339 to 795 of the family's 1533-position model. The record is from RNAcentral.